GGGCCACAUGCUCCCUCUUUCUCUAGUGACCCUUCAGAACCUUUACGCUUACACAUCGGGGUGAUAGUUACAAAGUUAGGAGGUACCAGGAAGGGCAUGUCCUUUUACAGCUGCACCGUAGCCAUUCAGUAAUCACAGCUGGGCCACCGUGGACACUCCUGGAGCAUAAAUGGAGGCGAAACAGAGGUUCUAGAGCCAUGCCAGACAAAUCUAAAACUUUGACAUCAGUCAGGACACUAACUACAGAGAAUUCAGAAUGUCUUGGCUGUGAAUCUACACUUCCAUCUGAUUCUGUUCCUAUUUCCUCCUGCUCAGACUGAUGCCAAGGUCAGUAUGAUGGUUAGGAAGUGUGAUGCUUCUGAAACAAGAAUGCACUCCACAAAAAUGCCCAUUAGAAACACUUUUCCUUCUCGAUUCCCUCUUUAGAGUGCCCAUCGGACUCUCGCAGCUUUGGGUGGUAAGAAUAUAAAUUCCAGGCUAGUUUCUAUUGCAAACACUCUUUAUCCAAUUAUUUAAAGUCUUCUACUUUGUGGUUACUUCCUAUAUUGAACUAUUAAAUCUCUCCACAGUAAUGACCCAUCUCCAUCUUCACCUAUUUCGCAGCUGUUUUGGGAGAAACUACUGCCUUGCUAAGGAGAAGAGCCUGUCGGAAGACUUCAGCCAUCUGGUAGACUGCCUCAAGAUGAGACUAAAGCUGGCUCUUCAAGAACGUGUAGAAUUCAAACAGGCGGUGAAGAAAGAAGAUCGCACAAUAAACCCUUCUCUUGAGAGACUGCAAAAAUCGAAGCAAAGCAUAAUUUUUUCAGUCUGAUUUCAGGUUCAAACUUGUGUGGUCCAAGGAGAACGGACAACCGUUUGCAUCUUAUACGGAGAAUAUACUUAGGUAUCAGUAUAAUAAAAAAAAUAAAAUGAGAGAAGGAAGGGAAGGAGGAAAGGAAGAAGAAACAGGGGAGAAACACAGGAAGAAACAAAAAACAGCUGGAAUAAACAUGGAGUUUCAGACCAAAAGAUUCAGCCUUGAAGCUUGGUUCUGCCCCUAAAAUAUGUGUGACCUUGGGCAUGGUAUUUAAUCACUUGAAUGUCAAUUUUGUCACUUCUUAACUAUAAAUAUCAACUACUUCAUAAAUGUGGUUUGAGCCUAGGGCUGUGAGAUAAAAUACAUCAUAUCAGGUAAUGUGAAUUUCAAGAAAAUAAAGCAUACUUUCUUUUAGUGUAAAUAUAUUCUAUGCAUACUUGUUACCUGAAAUUCAAGUUUAACUGACUGAAGUAGGCUCACGAAUGGCCCUUACAUAUGUCUAUGUCCUAAUGCUCAGAAGCUGUAAAUGUUACCUUAUAUGGCAAACAGGACAUUGCAGCUGUGAUUAAGAAUCUUGAGCGAGGGAGAUUCUCCUGAGUUUCUGAUGGGCCCAGAGACGUCACAUGGGUCCUUCAUAGGAUGAUCAGGAAGACUCAGAGGAGAAGACAAUGUCAAGAUAGAAGCAGAGGUUGGAAGGAUGCACUCUAAAGAUGGUGGAAGGGGCCACAGGCCAAGGGAUACAGGUGGCCUCUAAAAGCUGAAAAAGGCAAAUCAACAAACUCUCUCCCCAGAACCCGAAGAAACCAGCCUCGUUAAUGCCUGGACUUUAGCCCAGUGAAACUGAUUUUGGACUUCUGACCUCCACAACU
Molecule: long non-coding RNA, 1665 nt
Organism: Suricata suricatta (meerkat)
Lineage: Eukaryota; Metazoa; Chordata; Mammalia; Carnivora; Herpestidae
Exons: 4
Source: RefSeq, a predicted model, not a curated record